CAUGCAAGUCGAGCGAACAGACGAGGAGCUUGCUCCUCUGACGUUAGCGGCGGACGGGUGAGUAACACGUGGGUAACCUACCUAUAAGACUGGGAUAACUCCGGGAAACCGGGGCUAAUACCGGAUAACACAUGAAACCGCAUGGUUUCAUGAUGAAAGACGGUUUUGCUGUCACUUAUAGAUGGACCCGCGGCGUAUUAGCUAGUUGGUAAGGUAACGGCUUACCAAGGCAACGAUACGUAGCCGACCUGAGAGGGUGAUCGGCCACACUGGAACUGAGACACGGUCCAGACUCCUACGGGAGGCAGCAGUAGGGAAUCUUCCGCAAUGGGCGAAAGCCUGACGGAGCAACGCCGCGUGAGUGAUGAAGGUCUUCGGAUCGUAAAACUCUGUUAUUAGGGAAGAACAAGGKUGUAAGUAACUAUGCAYCCCUUGACGGUACCUAAUCAGAAAGCCACGGCUAA
Molecule: ribosomal RNA, 464 nt
Filed under: Staphylococcus simulans
Lineage: Bacteria; Bacillati; Bacillota; Bacilli; Caryophanales; Staphylococcaceae
Description: bacterial SSU rRNA
Rfam family: Bacterial small subunit ribosomal RNA
Source: RNAcentral